RNAcentral lists this ribosomal RNA (253 nucleotides) under uncultured bacterium. Its description in RNAcentral is "partial 16S ribosomal RNA". It matches the Rfam family "Bacterial small subunit ribosomal RNA", at positions 524 to 776 of the family's 1533-position model. The record is from RNAcentral.
UACGUAGGGUGCAGGCGUUAAUCGGAAUUACUGGGCGUAAAGCGUGCGCAGGCGGUUUCUUAAGUCAGAUGUGAAAGCCCCGGGCUUAACCUGGGAACUGCGUUUGAAACUGGGAGACUUGAGUGUGGCAGAGGGGGGUGGAAUUCCACGUGUAGCAGUGAAAUGCGUAGAUAUGUGGAGGAACACCGAUGGCGAAGGCAGCCCCCUGGUUUAACACUGACGCUCAUGCACGAAAGCGUGGGGAGCAAACAGG